GAUGAACGCUGGCGGCGUGCCUAAUACAUGCAAGUCGAGCGAACGGACGAGAAGCUUGCUUCUCUGAUGUUAGCGGCGGACGGGUGAGUAACACGUGGAUAACCUACCUAUAAGACUGGGAUAACUUCGGGAAACCGGAGCUAAUACCGGAUAAUAUUUUGAACCGCAUGGUUCAAAAGUGAAAGACGGUCUUGCUGUCACUCAUAGAUGGAUCCGCGCUGCAUUAGCUAGUUGGUAAGGUAACGGCUUACCAAGGCAACGAUGCAUAGCCGACCUGAGAGGGUGAUCGGCCACACUGGAACUGAGACACGGUCCAGACUCCUACGGGAGGCAGCAGUAGGGAAUCUUCCGCAAUGGGCGAAAGCCUGACGGAGCAACGCCGCGUGAGUGAUGAAGGUCUUCGGAUCGUAAAACUCUGUUAUUAGGGAAGAACAUAUGUGUAAGUAACUGUGCACAUCUUGACGGUACCUAAUCAGAAAGCCACGGCUAACUACGUGCCAGCAGCCGCGGUAAUACGUAGGUGGCAAGCGUUAUCCGGAAUUAUUGGGCGUAAAGCGCGCGUAGGCGGUUUUUUAAGUCUGAUGUGAAAGCCCACGGCUCAACCGUGGAGGGUCAUUGGAAACUGGAAAACUUGAGUGCAGAAGAGGAAAGUGGAAUUCCAUGUGUAGCGGUGAAAUGCGCAGAGAUAUGGAGGAACACCAGUGGCGAAGGCGACUUUCUGGUCUGUAACUGACGCUGAUGUGCGAAAGCGUGGGGAUCAAACAGGAUCAGAUACCCUGGUAGUCCACGCCGUAAACGAUGAGUGCUAAGUGUUAGGGGGUUUCCGCCCCUUAGUGCUGCAGCUAACGCAUUAAGCACUCCGCCUGGGGAGUACGACCGCAAGGUUGAAACUCAAAGGAAUUGACGGGGACCCGCACAAGCGGUGGAGCAUGUGGUUUAAUUCGAAGCAACGCGAAGAACCUUACCAAAUCUUGACAUCCUUUGACAACUCUAGAGAUAGAGCCUUCCCCUUCGGGGGACAAAGUGACAGGUGGUGCAUGGUUGUCGUCAGCUCGUGUCGUGAGAUGUUGGGUUAAGUCCCGCAACGAGCGCAACCCUUAAGCUUAGUUGCCAUCAUUAAGUUGGGCACUCUAAGUUGACUGCCGGUGACAAACCGGAGGAAGGUGGGGAUGACGUCAAAUCAUCAUGCCCCUUAUGAUUUGGGCUACACACGUGCUACAAUGGACAAUACAAAGGGCAGCGAAACCGCGAGGUCAAGCAAAUCCCAUAAAGUUGUUCUCAGUUCGGAUUGUAGUCUGCAACUCGACUACAUGAAGCUGGAAUCGCUAGUAAUCGUAGAUCAGCAUGCUACGGUGAAUACGUUCCCGGGUCU
Molecule: ribosomal RNA, 1372 nt
Filed under: uncultured bacterium
Lineage: Bacteria
Description: bacterial SSU rRNA
Rfam family: Bacterial small subunit ribosomal RNA
Source: RNAcentral